This 240-nucleotide ribosomal RNA is filed under the name uncultured Staphylococcus sp. RNAcentral describes it as "partial 16S ribosomal RNA". It matches the Rfam family "Bacterial small subunit ribosomal RNA", at positions 126 to 354 of the family's 1533-position model. The record is from RNAcentral. Lineage: Bacteria; Bacillati; Bacillota; Bacilli; Caryophanales; Staphylococcaceae.
GUACCUAUAAGAACUGGGACGAACUUACGUUGAAACCGGAGCUAAUACCGGAUAAGAUAUCGAACCGCAUGGUUCGAUAGUGAAAGAUGGUUUUGCUAUCACUUAUAGAUGGACCCGCGCCGUAUUAGCUAGUUGGUGAGGUAACGGCUCACCAAGGCAACGAUACGUAGCCGACCUGAGAGGGUGAUCGGCCACACUGGAACUGAGACACGGUCCAGACUCCUACGGGAGGCAGCAGGC